Molecule: ribosomal RNA, 253 nt
Filed under: uncultured bacterium
Lineage: Bacteria
Description: partial 16S ribosomal RNA
Rfam family: Bacterial small subunit ribosomal RNA
Source: RNAcentral
GACGGAAGGUGCAAGCGUUGCUCGGAAUCACUGGGCGUAAAGGGUGCGUAGGCGGCUUGGUAAGUUGGGUGUGAAAGCCCCGGGCUCAACCUGGGAACUGCAUUUGUGACUGCACAGCUGGAGUGCGGCAGAGGGGGAUGGAAUUCCGCGUGUAGCAGUGAAAUGCGUAGAUAUGCGGAGGAACACCGAUGGCGAAGGCAAUCCCCUGGGCCUGCACUGACGCUCAUGCACGAAAGCGUGGGGAGCAAACAGG